UUAUGACCUUAAAAUAGGUCGAAAGCUUGUCAAUUGCAAUUUGUUUUUUCAGCCAGACCAAACUGGCUGAACCAGGAAAAUUAAUAGUAAUUUUAUCUUCUUAAACGUUGUGAAUUUUUCGGAGAUCCAUUUGAAACAGCGUUUGAAACAGCCGAGGGUAGACUUUUCUCAGCCGACUUUUCGAGUUCAUCGCAAUUAGAAUUAUGACGGUAAACAAACUAAUCUAACCGUUUGGACCGGAUUACAGUAAGCCGUUGUGUGUUAUUUAAAGUUCAGGUCGAGUUUUUAUCCAGUGAAAUAUAAACGGGUUCCGUGAAGAGGGUUAACCACGAAAUUCCGUGAUCAUGAACAUGUAAGGGCGUUGUUUAGCUCAAUAAAGGGAUGUGAACGCCGACUAAAGCCGAGAAAAUUUUCCCAUUUUAAUUAUUUCUAACUUUCUUCCGCCUUCUCGGCCGUCACUUAUAAUGAAUAUUUGAUUUCAAAUAGCUGUUUCGUCUAUAUCUAUUAUUGCAUAAUCGAACUGGGCUGUCCGAGAUCGUCGCGAUAACCUCUGUUAACGCUUUUUUACUUCUGCUGGCUUACCUAAGCAACAGAAAAAAUAUGGCUUUGACCAGUGCCAAUUCACGUUCAAUAUAUGAACGGUUAGAUCACUCUAGCUUUAAAUACGUUAAUGUAAUUUUUUUAUUUUUUUAUUAGAGAGACAGAAGCUAUCAGCUCUUCUGGCAUUGCCUUAUGAAUACUUGUGUUGAAAUUACAUUUACUCCAACGUUGAACUGAAGAAUUGAAUUGGAUUCUGAAAAUUAUGAAUAGAAGACGAUGUUAGCUACAUCAUUUUCUUUUUUAAAUGUUUAGCUCAAUAUUUUUGUUUUUGAUAAACAAAGAAAAACAAUUAAUUUUUUUAAAAGUAAAGUUACUUAUUUAACCAAUUAUUUUGACUUUUCGGGAAUUUACAACCAUCAUAGGCAUCUACAUUUUUAAACGACACCUGGAUCAAUCAAUAAGGAUACGAAACCAUCCAGGCUUUGAACCAGUUUUUACCAACGCAAUACACGAAAUGUGAUAUUCAACCAGGACAUCCAAUUAUUCCAGGAAUGGCAGACGCUUUACUAUCUAUACAUUUUUCAAUCAACACAUUACAAAUGGGCUGAGGCCCGCCGUCUGCCCCGCAUAUCACCUAUGAGAUAAUUAUUGGGACAAUCAUGACCCGUGGCAGUUGCCCUCCCAAAUAUAGAUUUUUUUAAUUAAAAAAAAGCAUUCCAAAACAAUAGUGGUUAAUCAAUAUUUUUGAGAACGGAGCAUCAAAUCUGUUAAGGACGAGGCAGAAAAUACAAACAAUAAUGUAAUGACAACAAUAAAAUUAAAGGAAAUUCUUGAAAGCUAAGAACAAUUUACUCUGGUAGAGAAAUGAUUGGUACUAAUAAUUUCUGUGUUCAAGUUUUUUUAAGCCCAUUUCAGGGGCAGCUGGUUUACAACCCGGGACUUCCGCCUUACAGUGAUGUGCAGCUCAACGCCUAACCGUUGCGGCCACCAACGCCCCAGAUGUUUUUUUAAAAUAA
This 1556-nucleotide long non-coding RNA is filed under the name Cimex lectularius (bed bug). Its description in RNAcentral is "uncharacterized LOC106665648, transcript variant X1". The record is from RNAcentral. Lineage: Eukaryota; Metazoa; Arthropoda; Insecta; Hemiptera; Cimicidae.